UUAGAGCGAGCCGUCUGGCCCCAGCGCGGUAGAGGUAGAGGGUCGGGGCCCGCCCUGCACCCUAGGCAGCGGGGUUUGCCGAUGGGCGUGCAUUGGAAAGGGGGCACAGUGGGCUGGGAGGGUUUGGUGCGCGGAGGUUGCCAAGAGCGGUCGCCCUUGAACUUUUGGUCUCCAAGCACACUAGCGUUUGCUUCUCUACGCCUCCUGAACGUCAGAAGCCAAGUGAGGGAGAAGCCAGGGUCUCGUGAAAUGCUCAGAACACAUGCGUAAAACUACAGCAGGGUUGGGCUGGAGUGAAAUCAGCAACGUACCAAAACCAUGAAACACAGAAACAACUGCUUCUUCCAGACUUCGACAUACCACCCAGAAGGCAGUGUGGAGAAGAGGAAAGAGUGAAGAUUUUAAAGUCAGACAAGCCUGGCAGGGAUCUCUCUGCUGGAUCUGAGCUCCUGGAUGGCUCAGCCUGGAUCAUUCAGAAGCCUAUCAGAGGCAAGUUAGCCAACAGGUUUUCAGGAACUAAGAAUGCACAUAUGGAAGAGCGAAUGCAAAAAUUUAAGAUACUUAUAUUGCUAAACACAAGUAGAAUUUUAUAUAAAUAUAAUUCAUAAAAGGUAUAAAUGGCAAGAAUUUCUUUCUACCCAAUAAUUUUGUGCAACUCCUGAUAUGCUAUCUCUAGUGGUGAAACAUGACAGCCCUCGGCCCUACAGAGACCUCCACCUGACAGCUCUAAGCUCCUUCCUGGCUCUCAGAGGCUCUAGAAUGCAACGUGCCUCACCUCUUCCCCGAAUGUCCUGCUGUCCUCUCUAGGCCAUACAACUGCUUUGAGAGAGGAAUGACCAAGGCAUUCUCACUUUUGAGGGAAGUGAAAUAAAACUGCUCAGACAAACCAGGUUUUCCAAUUAAAGUCCACGAUCUUCCUGUUUUCCCAAGAAGAGCCUCUGUUUUUUCCUAUUCUCUAUUGAAAGCAUAGCUGGUAGACAGUCUUCAGUAACUAUCCAUCCUCUCUAUUGUUUUGAAAGGCAAUGCUUAGUAAGUAGGUCAUUUAUGUUUAGAAAUUUCCCUUUGAAGUUUUAUUCGAGCACAGAAUUUACUAAAAAACAAACAACUCUUUAUUAUUUUAGUGAAAAUCAUAAGCUUAACUCAAAUAUACAUAGGAUCAGAUUCCUGGACUUUUUUUCUACCCAGUCAUCCCUGUGGGCAGUUAAGGCUUAUGUAUGGGUCAAGUACUUUUAACUAGUGGUUAAUGGAAUAUAUGUCAUAUAAAUGUUAUUUCUUUUAGGCAUUCACUUAAUGACUGGGCGGCCAUUACUAAUAAUGCAAAGGGAUACGAAAACAGAUAUGUAAAGGUUAGAUUUCAACCAUGUGGUAAUCCUGAUCCUUGACUAUUUUUGACCUACGCAUGACAAUUUAAUAUAGUACAACCUGAUAUGUUUAAGGUUUAUUCAUAAAAUAAUACAUUUUAUACGUGUGUCAAAUAUAAAAUUGAUAUUGGAAUAGUAACAUAUUGCUAUUAAGAAAAACUUAAGAUAAGUUCAAAUAUCGUUUUAAAUACUGCUGCAACAUGGAAACAUGAUACCAUGUUCCAUACUAUAAUAUACCAGGACUUGAUGAAAGAAGACACAAUUGUUUUAUUUUGAGCCAACUAAUUAAAUAUCAGUCUCAUAACUUAUAAAAAUAUAUUAAUUUACUAUCAACCCUAAUGUCAAUACAUUUUAUGAAAUGACUAUUGUGUUGUUUGAGUCAGAGGUGAACUGUGUUGGGAGAUGUAAGAAAUCUUCCUUUACCUCACUGAAGACUAUGUAUUUCAAUAAGAAAUGCUUUACAUUUUUAAACUGCUCUGUAUGAAUAAAUAGUGCUAACACAAAAUUA
Molecule: long non-coding RNA, 1869 nt
Organism: Lynx canadensis (Canada lynx)
Lineage: Eukaryota; Metazoa; Chordata; Mammalia; Carnivora; Felidae
Exons: 5
Source: RefSeq, a predicted model, not a curated record